Molecule: ribosomal RNA, 429 nt
Filed under: Actinomycetes bacterium
Lineage: Bacteria; Bacillati; Actinomycetota; Actinomycetes
Description: Actinobacteria bacterium partial 16S ribosomal RNA
Rfam family: Bacterial small subunit ribosomal RNA
Source: RNAcentral
UAGGGAAUCUUCCGCAAUGGGCGAAAGCCUGACGGAGCAACGCCGCGUGAGUGAUGAAGGUCUUCGGAUCGUAAAACUCUGUUAUUAGGGAAGAACAAAUGUGUAUGUAACUAUGCACGUCUUGACGGUACCUAAUCAGAAAGCCACGGCUAACUACGUGCCAGCAGCCGCGGUAAUACGUUGGUGGCAAGCGUUAUCCGGAAUUAUUGGGCGUAAAGCGCGCGUAGGCGGUUUUUUAAGUCUGAUGUGAAAGCCCACGGGUCAACCGUGGAGGGUCAUUGGAAACUGGAGAACUUGAGUGCAGAAGAGGAAAGUGGAAUUCCAUGUGUAGCGGUGAAAUGCGCAGAGAUAUGGAGGAACACCAGUGGCGAAGGCGACUUUCUGGUCUGUAACUGACGCUGAUGUGCGAAAGCGUGGGGAUCAAACAGG